RNAcentral lists this ribosomal RNA (492 nucleotides) under uncultured bacterium. RNAcentral describes it as "partial 16S ribosomal RNA". It matches the Rfam family "Bacterial small subunit ribosomal RNA", at positions 29 to 507 of the family's 1533-position model. The record is from RNAcentral.
AGUGAACGCUGGCGGUAGGCCUAACACAUGCCAGUCGAACGGCAGCACAGUAAGAGCUUGCUCUUACGGGUGGCGAGUGGCGGACGGGUGAGGAAUACAUCGGAAUCUACUUUUUCGUGGGGGAUAACGUAGGGAAACUUACGCUAAUACCGCAUACGACCUACGGGUGAAAGCAGGGGAUCUUCGGACCUUGCGCGAUUGAAUGAGCGGAUGUCGGAUUAGCUAGUUGGCGGGGUAAAGACCCACCAAGGCGACGAUCCGUAGCUGGUCUGAGAGGAUGAUCAGCCACACUGGAACUGAGACACGGACCAGAGGCCUACGGGAGGCAGCAGUGGGGAAUAGUGGACAAUGGGCGCAAGCCUGAUCCAGCCAUACCGCGUGGGUGAAGAAGGCCUUCGGGUUGUAAAGCCCUUUUGUUGGGAAAGAAAAGCAGCAGGUUAAUACCCCGCUGUUCUGACGGUACCCAAAGAAUAAGCACCGGCUAACUUCGUG